Caenorhabditis elegans is the source of this 21-nucleotide non-coding RNA. Lineage: Eukaryota; Metazoa; Nematoda; Chromadorea; Rhabditida; Rhabditidae. The record is from Ensembl.
UUCGGAAAAAGUUGGGUAGUG